Molecule: non-coding RNA, 120 nt
Organism: Aspergillus luchuensis
Lineage: Eukaryota; Fungi; Ascomycota; Eurotiomycetes; Eurotiales; Aspergillaceae
Source: Rfam
ACAUACGACCAUAGGGUGUGGAAAACAGGGCUUCCCGUCCGCUCAGCCGUACUUAAGCCACACGCCGGGAGGUUAGUAGUUGGGUGGGUGACCACCAGCGAAUCCCUUCUGUUGUGUGUA